RNAcentral lists this long non-coding RNA (2507 nucleotides) under Theobroma cacao (cacao). Its description in RNAcentral is "long non-coding RNA (TCAC_LNC004974)". The record is from RNAcentral. Lineage: Eukaryota; Viridiplantae; Streptophyta; Magnoliopsida; Malvales; Malvaceae.
AAGAACAAAGGAAGAAAAAGGAAGAACAAGAACCCUAAGGUGAAAAUUCAAGAGAAAAUUGGUGCAUUUCAAGUAAUUAAGCAAUCAAAGGUAAAAUUUCUUGAUUUUGACUUGUGAUCUACCUUUCUCAUGCAUUAUUUUGCAUUUUCCAUGGUUGAAUCACAAGAUAUCAUGAAGGAUAGUGUGCUGAUCAAACCCUAGAAGAGAGGUUUUGAUGCUUGAUUUGGUUAGAUUUCAAUGUAUUUUAGUGUUUUUAGUUGAUUGGUGAUGUGUAGCAUGAAAAUCAAGCAAGAAAAAUUCAUAUUCUCCCAUCACCCAUCAUUGGCCGAAUUCUCCAUGUGGAAUAUUGAAAUGAUUUUGAUUUUAUUUUAAGUGAUUUGGUUAAGAAUUACUGAUUUAUGGUGUGAGAAUCAAGUAGGACAAAUUAUAGUGUUGAUGCACCCACCAUGGCCGAAUUUUCCAAGAGAAAAUGUGAGGAUGAUUUUGCCAUAUUUCAAGUUAUUUAAUUUGUGUUUGAUGAUUUGGAGUAUUGGGAGAAAAAUGAAAUUAUUUGGAGUUGAAUUGGACGUAUUGGCCAAUUAAUCGAGUGAUAGAUUGAAUUAGGUCAAUACCGUUUAAUUUAGGUACAUAAUUGAAUUUGUGUAGAACACCGUGUUUAGACAAUAAUCUGAACAAUUUACAUCCCAUUUCAUACAUUAGUAUAAAGCCUGAAUUGGUUUUAUAACAAUUUAGCACAAUGUAGUAAAUGGCUUAUUGUGCAUUAUGUCUAGAUGGUGAGCAUUCUGGCAAAAGUAAAGAGAUAGUACCCAAGGAUCAAGAAUCGGAGUACUUGGAAUUCGACUCCCGAAAUAGUGAGUAACCUUACUAUCGUCUUAAUUAUCUAAAGUAGUUUUUAAUCGUUUUUAUGAAUUUUAUGGAAAAUGAGUUUAAAUGAUUAAUUUUUAGGUUUUAUAAACAAAAUGUGUUUAAAUAAAAUGAUUUUAUAAAUGGUCUUGAAAUUGAAUGAAGGCUUUGAAAAUAGAGUAAUUGGAGACCAUUUGAUGUAUUGUGAAUUUAUGGUUCUACUUGAAUGGCUUAUGACAAUAAUUGCAUGAAUGGUUGAAUUGAUAUUUGUGUUGAAAUGUAUGAACUGUGUAUUUAGCCUUGAGAGGCUGUAAAAUAAAAUAAUUGCCAUGUCAUGCUAUCGUAAAUUUUAUUGUAUGGUGGGUUUAGCUUGCUGCAGUGGGCGGGUUUUCUGUGGACCAGCCUAUUAGAGGGGCACAGAAUCCCGUUAUAUUUUACCUCGGUUGGAGAGGCGAGUAGGGUAACUCCCGAGGUAUAACUUUACAGUUCACUUCACGUCAAACCACGACGUGAGGGUGAACUUAGCCAACGCCAAGGAACAACUAUGUUUUUAAAAUAAAAACAUGAUUGAUGCGUACAUAACUUUUUAACAGCCUUGGCGGACUCGGUUGGGAUAACCCUCGAUCAAGGUAUUCUUGAUAACUAGGUAUGAGAAUGAUUUUGGCACGAGCCAAAGUUUUAAGAAAUUCAUAAGCCAUGUUGAUAACUCGAUUUAUAUGAAUUGAUUUUAUUUGGUUAAAACAAAUUGAAAGGUGAUAAAUUACAAUUUGUUAAACUAUUUUAUCUGUCUCCAUUUACUCGGCUUUAGAUAUUUUAGAUGAUAUUUGUUUACUCACUGGGAUUAUAUAAUCUCACCACCCUCAUUUCCACCCAUUUCAGGCUUAGGAUAAUCUAUAGAUAGCUGAUUUCAUCGAGGUUACUAUUAGAUUUGCAUCCUCCAAAUUGUAGGUUCACAAUCUUUCUUACUUUUGGUUAUUCGAGGGCUUACUUGUUACUGUAAAUUAAAUUAAAUACUCCGGCUUACUGUAUUACAAUAUAUAUGAAUUUAUCUUGUUUUUACGCUGUAAAAAUUAUUUAUGCAGUGUUCUAAAAAUAUUAUUUUAUGAGAAAAUUAAAUAUUUUAUUCAAUAUUUUUAUUUUAUUCUAAUAGUCAUAAUUUCAUUUUAAACGAAUGUUUUAGACAUCCAAAUUUAUUUUUGAUUAUGAAAUAUGUGUUUUGCACCCGUAUACUACAUUGUUAGCUGGUUUCGAAAUUUUCAGGAAAAAAUAACUAAAAUACUCCUACGAGACGAAAAUUAUUUUUUUAUUAUUUUAAGUUGGAAAUAGUUUAAAAUCUUUUAGAACGUGAUACUUGGCAACGAUUACUCACAGGGGAAAUGAGAAACUGAUAUGAAAGCCUUGUGGGGUUCCGGUUGGCAUUUCAGGUAAUGAGUGUCUAUCGAGACACCGCGACGGUUGUCAUGGGCUCGAGGGGAGUACUAGGUCGUGACAGGAACAGCCUAUGGUGAGACUUAACAUGAUUGAAAUCAAAUGUCCAAAGGCUUGAUUGGGCUUUGAUUAUGGUUUGAAAUAUUGUAAUGUGUUUAGAUUGAUAUGAGAUUACAUCCAUGUACAUAGUUAUGAAUCUGGAUAUGCAUGACAAGAUUUGGAAAUAUAAAUGAGAA